RNAcentral lists this transfer RNA (67 nucleotides) under Membranipora grandicella. RNAcentral describes it as "tRNA-Val". The record is from RNAcentral. Lineage: Eukaryota; Metazoa; Bryozoa; Gymnolaemata; Cheilostomatida; Membraniporidae.
AGGUGAAUGACUUUACAGUCAAAACUUUUGAUUAACAAUCAAACACCAAGUUUUGGCUUUUCACCUA